This 1419-nucleotide ribosomal RNA is filed under the name metagenome. RNAcentral describes it as "bacterial LSU rRNA". It matches the Rfam family "Bacterial large subunit ribosomal RNA", at positions 1485 to 2925 of the family's 2925-position model. The record is from RNAcentral.
GCGGAAGCCGGGAAUGGAAAGCCCGGUGCAAGCGGGGUACCAGCCACUUUGGCAAAUCCGGGUGGCAAUGGGAAGCCGUGAUGCGGAGCGAAAUAAAGUAGCGAAGUCCGUGAGCCAUGCGUCAAGAAAAGCCGCUAUUGUUUAUACCGUACCCGUACCGUAAACCGACACAGGCGGAUGAGGAGAGAAUCCCAAGGCCGGCGGAAGAAGCAUUGUCAAGGAACUCGGCAAAAUGGCCCCGUAACUUAGGGAUAAGGGGUGCCUGGGAAACCAGGCCGCAGAGAAUAGGCUCAGGCAACUGUUUAGCAAAAACACAGGUCUAUGCGAAACCGAAAGGUGAGGUAUAUGGGCUGACGCCUGCCCGGUGCUGGAAGGUUAAGAGGAGAGGUUAGCGCAAGCGAAGCUUUGAAUUUAAGCCCCAGUAACCGGCGGCCGUAACUAUAACGGUCCUAAGGUAGCGAAAUUCCUUGUCGGGUAAGUUCCGACCCGCACGAAAGGCGUAAUGAUUUGAGCGCUGUCUCGACAAUGCAUCCGGUGAAAUUGAAGUACCAGUGAAGAUGCUGGUUACCUGCGCCAGGACGGAAAGACCCCAUGGAGCUUUACUCCAGUCUGGUACUGGGACUCGGUAUUGCAUGUACAGGAUAGGUGGGAGGCUGAGAAAUGGUAACGCCAGUUGCCAUGGAGCCGCUGUUGGGAUACCACCCUUGCAGUAUUGGGUUUCUAACCAGCCGCCGUGACCCGGCGGUGGGACAAUGCCAGACGGGGAGUUUGACUGGGGCGGUCGCCUCCGAAAGGGUAUCGGAGGCGCCCAAAGGUUCCCUCAGAAUGGACGGAAACCAUUCGAAGAGUGCAAAGGCAGAAGGGAGCUUGACUGCGACACCGACGGGUGGAGCAGGUACGAAAGUAGGGCUUAGUGAUCCGGUGGUAUUAAGUGGGAAUGCCAUCGCUCAACGGAUAAAAGCUACCCUGGGAUAACAGGCUUAUCACUCCCAAGAGUUCACAUCGACGGAGUGGUUUGGCACCUCGAUGUCGGCUCAUCGCAUCCUGGGGCUGUAGUAGGUCCCAAGGGUUGGGCUGUUCGCCCAUUAAAGCGGUACGCGAGCUGGGUUCAGAACGUCGUGAGACAGUUCGGUCCCUAUCCGGCGUGGGCGUAGGAUAUCUGAGAGGAGCUGUCCUUAGUACGAGAGGACCGGGAUGGACGGGCCGCUGGUGCAUCGGUUAGACUGCCAAGUCUACGGCCGAGUAGCCAAGCCCGGAAGGGAUAAACGCUGAAGGCAUCCAAGCGUGAAGCCCCCCUUAAGAUGAGAUAUCCCAUUCGAAAGAAGUAAACCCCCUUGAAGACGACGAGGUAGAUAGGGCAGAGGUGGAAGUGCAGCAAUGCAUGGAGCUGACUGUUACUAAUCGGGUGAGGGCUUGACC